This 282-nucleotide unclassified non-coding RNA is filed under the name Hevea brasiliensis (rubber tree). Lineage: Eukaryota; Viridiplantae; Streptophyta; Magnoliopsida; Malpighiales; Euphorbiaceae. The record is from RNAcentral.
UUAUGAGCGUGUCGACGCCCGGCAAGAUGCGUUGGAUUGCAGUCUCGUGCUCCGCCAGAAAUUUGGGUUGCGACGUGAGGAGGUAACCUCGGGCAGCGCUUUCUGCGCGCCUGAUAUCCAGCAGGACGGUCGAUAUCUGAUUUUCGACUUCGACGGUGUGAACCACCCAGCGGCUGUCGUCGCGCGCCUUGUUCACCAGAACGAUGGAAAUGACGCUGAUCGCGACCAGCACCAGAAAGCCCGCUGAUAGCAAGGCAAUCUGCCAGAGCGUACGCCGGCGGG